AUAUCAGUCAUGCAUAGCAUAUCAAUAAGCGGAGGAAAAGAAACUAACAAGGAUUCCCUUAGUAACGGCGAGUGAAGCGGGAAGAGCUCAAAUUUGAAAUCUUCAAGGUUCUACCUUGACGAAUUGUAGUUUAUAGAAGUGUUUUCUGUUAGUGGAGUGGCAAAAGUUCUUUGGAAUAGGACAUCAUAGAGGGUGAGAAUCCCGUAUUUGGUCAUUCCUCCUAGCGUUGUGAUACACUUUCAACGAGUCGGAUUGUUUGGGAAUGCAGUCCAAAAUGGGUGGUAAAUUUCAUCUAAAGCUAAAUAUUGGCGAGAGACCGAUAGCGAACAAGUACCGUGAGGGAAAGAUGAAAAGAACUUUGAAAAGAGAGUUAAACAGUACGUGAAAUUGUCAAAAGGGAAGCGUUUGACACCAGUGUUGUUUUUCCGAAAAUCAAUUACGAAUGUUUUGUUUUUGAGAGAGUUAUGACUUCAUCGGCUUGCUUCCUUUCUUUACUGAAACUUUCUUAAUGCACUUUUCGGUUAACAAGUCAACAUCAAUUUCUUUUGUUGUAAAAGGGUAUGAGGAAGGUGGCUUUCUUUUCGGAGAAAGUGUUUAUAGCCUUGUGCCUCUGCAAUCGGAGAGAUUGAGGUCUGCAGCGUAGAUCCUUCGGGGUUAGAUACGUUUGUGCUAAGUUAUAGCUUUUCAUAGACAACUUGUUGACUAUGUUUAGUCUUGUAGCUUACUCGCUGACGCUAUUUUACCUACGCUUAGGAUGUUGAUCUCUCACAGUCGAGC
This 777-nucleotide ribosomal RNA is filed under the name uncultured Neocallimastigales. RNAcentral's name for it is "partial large subunit ribosomal RNA". It matches the Rfam family "Eukaryotic large subunit ribosomal RNA", at positions 22 to 645 of the family's 3401-position model. Lineage: Eukaryota; Fungi; Neocallimastigomycota; Neocallimastigomycetes; Neocallimastigales. The record is from RNAcentral.